GAUGAAGAACGUAGUGAAAUGCGAUACUUGGUGUGAAUUGCAGAAUCCCGUGAACCAUCGAGUCUUUGAACGCAAGUUGCGCCCGAAGCCAUUAGGCCGAGGGCACGCCUGCCUGGGUGUCACACGUCGUUGCCCCCCCAUCUAAUCCUUCGGGAUUGCGGGGGGCGGAUGAUGGCCUCCCGUGCGCCUCGUCGCGCGGUUGGCAUAAAUGCCAAGUCCUCGGCGACGCACGCCACGACAAUCGGUGGUUGCGAAACCUCGGUUGCCCGUCGUGUGCGGUCGUCGCGCAUCGAGGGCUCGAAAAAAUUGCCGGGCUCCGGCUCGACUUUCAACGCGACCCCAGGUCAGGCGGGGUUACCCGCUGAAUUUAAGCAUAUCAAUAAGCGGAGGA
Molecule: unclassified non-coding RNA, 391 nt
Filed under: soil metagenome
Description: partial contains 5.8S ribosomal RNA, internal transcribed spacer 2, and large subunit ribosomal RNA
Rfam family: 5.8S ribosomal RNA (bases 1-122)
Source: RNAcentral